GGAACACUCAUUUCUAGAUCAGCGUGGCAGGCAGUGACAUCCAAUACCUGAAAUAUGGAACUCGUAUAUAUAAAAAAUGUUUACUAGUAUGGAUAGAUUUUUUUAGUGAAGGAAAGAGAUGGUUAUUUCCCUUGAAGAAAAAGCUCCAAAUGCUGUGUUACCUGGAUAGGAAUUUCUCAUGACAGUUAACCCGAUCAACAAGUGGGAAGCGGUCUCUGAAGAUACAGCUAGGUAACUUGGCCAUCAAAACUAUUGUAUGGCUGUCAGAAGCUGGCUGGUAAUAGUGUCAGAACAUGCAGGUGGCAGCCCCUGAUUGGGGGCAAUGAACAGUGGUGUGGUAGUGGAAAGGCGGUGUGUCUGUCAUUGCACCCAGGACUGGAGCUCUUGGGUGGGAGUUAUAGGUGCUGUUGAUGGUUCAAGAACAGUUUAUGGAGAACCACCUUGUGCUGCAUCACCCUCCCUUGAAAUUUCUUGAAAUAGCGCUUUAUAUGUCUAUCUAGCUUUCUUCUGGCCUGAAGUGGUGACUGCCUUCUGCUGGUGUUCUAAGAUUAAGUAUGGUUUAGCUCUGAAAACUCGAUGCUUUCUGCCAUAGGCCGGUGCUGGCAGCACAACUCCCGGUAUGAGGGCCAAGGGCCACAUCCAACAUCCCUUCUCUUAAGGAAAAAAGUAUACACCCUCAAGACUUCAUUCUGAGAAAGAUGCUCUGGACCAAUAUGAACGACUAAGUCAAUAAUGUGGCAAGAGCUGUUUCAGAGACUGCAGAAAGCCUGACAGCAGAUCAGCUCCCAGCAAUGCUGUGAGUUACUAAGAAAAUCAGGGCUACUCCUGCUGCAUUUACAGCUAACUGGACCAAAUCAAGAGCUGGCCUAAAAGUUGAGAUGCUGAGCAUGAGGGAAUUACUGCUGUCUGUGCCACUUCUGAUUUUUAUCCAGGGAAUGGUUUAAUGAGAAAACUGAAAGAAGACUUUGUGUGCAUUAGCAGUAGUGUAGAAUAAAUCCAUGGUUUAGGCCAGGCUGCUCACCAGAAGGUGACAUUUAUAUAACAAUCUUCCAGUAGGUGUGUUAUGUUUUACUAGAAGCCAGUUCAAAUAAAGCUUAUGUAAUUCAUAAUGGCCUAUUCCACAACACUUGCUAGGUUGAAAAGAGCCAACUAAUAAAGACAUAUUAACUUACAAAAUCACUUAGGGGGCUAAUAACCCUUCUUUUGAGCGUAUGGGUCUGGCUUUAAUAAACUUCAAAUCUGCUUUAUGUUCUUUUAAACAGGAAGGAUCUGAUACUGAGGAAGGCUGAGCACUCAGAAUUUCAGCUAAAAUCGAUGGCGUGCAUUCAACACCUUGGAAAACCAACUCCUAAAUCAAUGUCAAUUAAUUCUGAAGUUGAACUGGUUGAGUUGAGGAGACUUGGAAAACUCAGGGGAUUCUUAACUGGGCAUAUGGAAACUCUUAAGUCUAGUUAUGAGUGAUAGCCACCUUGCUAUCACCUCCAGGAGGCUGGCUGAAGAAUAGGUUCAAGUGGUGUGUGUCUGCUUCUCACUAGCCCCCACCCCUCAACUGGAAAUUUGUAAAGUAUGUUUAGCCAAAAAUCCAACUUUCUGCUGAAAUAAAAAAAGGGGGGGUGGGAGCAGCGACAUCAUUUGACAAUUUGUGAUAGUAAUUCCCAAGAGCAAGCCACUUAAUACCAAAAGUAAACGGCAGUGGUGGAAUUUCCACUUAAUGGAUGUCCACUUAAUGGAAAAAAAGUGUUUAACGGUUGGCACUGUGUCAUGUUCUUACACAGAAAACAUUUAAGACUAAGGGAUGAAUGGGCUAGAGACUCAGGAGUCCUCUUUCCCAGAACUGCUCCUUUGCAGAUGGGGCUGAGAUGUGUUUGUGAACUGGGAGGUUUUGUUUGCUCAGUGCCAAACCUGCCCUUAUAGCUUCUGCCAGCUUCAGCCCAUGUCUGCGUGCUGGUUUCCUCCUCGCUUAGAUGUGCGCUCACAAACAUGCACGUGUACCCAUGCAGGAACAGUGGUUGGCAUCCUGGGCACCUAAUCAAUCUUUCUGGUGUCUCAAGAACUGUAUGAAGCUCCAGGGACAGUCGCUGGCUACUCCCACAUUAAAGCGUGGUUUCUUCAAGAUGCCUUUAUCUGAGGAGUGUUGCUUGUUUUAGUCCUAAAGUUUCCACACCUCUCUGUGUGUGAGCCGGCACAGGCAGGACACAGAAACAACCACAAAACCAUGUAUGAAAAACUUAUCAAAGAGUAAAUUUAUUUUCAUUACCUCACCAACUAGGGAGCCUCAAAGGAGCACCCAGCAGAGGCACGCAAGCAUGGACGCAGGCACCAUGGAGCUCGGUCCGUGCUAGAGGAUCACUGAACCUGCUGGUUUCACCUAUAUUUCAGGGCAGGCAUAGUUUACCACUGUGCGUUGAUUUUUCCUACAGCAGGGCAGGAAUCUCAAGCUGCUUCUAUCACAGGCUUAUGUUACCGAAACACAGAUGUUCUACCUGUCCGACAGACAAGGCUAAACAACAAUUAGUAUGAUAUAUGUGCUCUUCUACACAGGUGUGGGUCACUUGAGUGUAUUUAUAAUCCUCCUUGCCAAUCUUCCUUUUUCCCCCACACCCUCAUUAACUUUAUUGUUGCUUUAGAUGUAUCACUGAAACAGUAUGUUGGCAAUGAGGAGUUGUGAGGGAGUGUGGAGAGAUUUGUUUAUACUGAUCAUGCAAAUCCUGCAUCAUUUUCCAUUUCUGGCUUAGAUAACCCAUGAUCUUCCUCCUGAGUCUCUGGCACCUCUGGGGCCUUGGCAGACCAGAAGGACCAGAAGGACCUGGAUGGGUGCUAUCAAACCCAUCCAUCACCUGUCCUAAAAUGAUGGAAGGAGUGGAAAAAUUUGCUCUUUGCUCUGGCGCCAGGCCAGCACUUGUCGGUCUACAUCCAUUUCAUUACAGGCUUCCAAAGUCAACCCUAAGCAUGGAGUAGCUGCCAUUUCAAAAGUCAAGCUGCCAGAUAUUUUCUAUCUUCAUCUCUGCUGUAGCAUGGUGUUUUCUUCAGCUCUCACAGUGGCAGCAUCAAACUGCCUGUGGCUGGGUGUUAUCUAAAGGGCUGGAGCUGCUGGGGUGGCUCAGGCAGCCUUUCCUUAGGCACCUCUUCUGGAAGCACAGCGUUCACCAGGGCAUGAGCCUGGUGAGCAGCCACAGCAGAUGGGAUAGAGAGGCCUGGCAGAACUUGG
Strigops habroptila (Kakapo) is the source of this 3208-nucleotide long non-coding RNA. RefSeq lists it as uncharacterized. The record is from RefSeq and is a predicted model, not a curated record. The transcript has 2 exons. Lineage: Eukaryota; Metazoa; Chordata; Aves; Psittaciformes; Psittacidae.